This 484-nucleotide ribosomal RNA is filed under the name uncultured bacterium. RNAcentral describes it as "partial 16S ribosomal RNA". It matches the Rfam family "Bacterial small subunit ribosomal RNA", at positions 28 to 523 of the family's 1533-position model. The record is from RNAcentral.
GACGAACGCUGGCGGCGCGCUUAACACAUGCAAGUCGAGCGAGAACCGGGGCUUCGGCCCCGGGGACAGCGGCGAACGGGUGAGUAACACGCGGGUAACCUGCCCUCGGCACCGGGAUAGCCCGGGGAAACCCGGAUUAAUACCGGACAGCCUCCGGAGCCUUCGGGCGCCGGAGAAAAGGUGGCUUCGGCUUCCGGCCGAGGAGGGGCCCGCGUCGCAGUAGCUAGUUGGUGAGGUAACGGCUCACCAAGGCGACGAUGCGUAGCCGACCUGAGAGGGUGAUCGGCCACAUUGGGACUGGGACACGGCCCAGACUCCUACGGGAGGCAGCAGUGGGGAAUAUUGCACAAUGGGGGAAACCCUGAUGCAGCAACGCCGCGUGAGUGAUGACGGUCUUCGGAUUGUAAAACUCUGUCUUCAGGGACGAUAAUGACGGUACCUGAGGAGGAAGCCACGGCUAACUACGUGCCAGCAGCCGCGGUAA